Long non-coding RNA from Magnolia sinica, 803 nucleotides. RefSeq lists it as uncharacterized. The record is from RefSeq and is a predicted model, not a curated record. The transcript has 3 exons. NCBI's taxonomy places the organism in Eukaryota, Viridiplantae, Streptophyta, Magnoliopsida, Magnoliales, Magnoliaceae.
GGGCCUGUUUACAACACCCCUGAACUUUAGGCUAACCAACAUGUUCACUAGUUUGAAUGAGUAUGCCUAGGUAAUGGGUCUGACCCAUUGUUGUGGCAUUUCAUUUUGAUGAUUACAUGUUCGAGGAGAGUGUUUGGCUGCUCAUUAAAGCCACUUGGUUUGUGCCUCUACCAUUGGAGUCUCAAGAAGAAGCCUCCUACGAACAAGAAGCUAUCUAUUAGUAUGAGGAUGAGGAGGAUGACAAUCUGGAUGAUGAAGCUUACUUUGGAAGCUCCUCAAGCCUUCGUAUUGGUAACCAUAGGUGUUUUAUACCUCUUUGGUAUAUUUGUUUAUUCCUAGUUGAUAUAUUCUGCUAGCAUCCAGAAACUGACUAUUGGAUUGAAGAACAUUUUCCCCCAUUGAAGAUCUGUGCCAUUUUUUACAGAUAUCACAAUAAUAUUGAUGUUCCUGUCUUAUUGCAAAGUAUCAAUGAAGAUAAAGAUAGGGAAUUGGUAGAUGCACAGGUAGAAAUCAAGGCGUUGAAGUACUUAGAACGCCUUAUAGAAAAAGCAGUUGAAGAGGUGAUGUGAAUGACAUGUGAAACAAGGCCUUUGUUGUUGCUUAUGGUGAAAAAACUUUUAGCUUUUCUGAAACUGAUUCAAAAGAAUGUUAUAAUAUAUGUUAUAUAGUUUAAACCAUGAUUUGUGCAACUUAAAAGGAAUAUGAGUUCAGCAAUAAAACGAGGCCUCCUUGUCAGGAUGUGCGGGUUUCAAUAUUAGUUUGUUUACCACAAUCAUCUUGUCAUGACCCUCCACAAUGAUCCA